GAUGAACGCUGGCGGCGUGCCUAAUACAUGCAAGUCGAGCGAACGGACGAGAAGCUUGCGUCUCUGAUGUUAGCGGCGGACGGGUGAGUAACACGUGGAUAACCUACCUAUAAGACUGGGAUAACUUCGGGAAACCGUAGCUAAUACCGGAGAAUAUUUUGAACCGCAUGGUUCAAAAGUGAAAGACGGUCUUGCUGUCACUUAUAGAUGGAUCCGCGCCGCAUUAGCUAGUUGGUAAGGUAACGGCUUACCAAGGCAACGAUGCAUAGCCGACCUGAGAGGGUGAUUGGCCACACUGGAAGUGAGACACGGUCCAGACUCCUACGGGAGGCAGCAGUAGGGAAUCGUGCGCCAUGGGCGGAAGCCUUACGGAGCAACGCCGCGUGAGGGAUGAAGGUCUUCGGAUCGGAAAACUCUGUUAUUAGGGAAGAACACAUGUGUAAGUAACUGUGCACAUCUUGACGGUUCCUAAUCAGAAAGCCACGGCCUACUACGUG
RNAcentral lists this ribosomal RNA (497 nucleotides) under uncultured bacterium. RNAcentral describes it as "partial 16S ribosomal RNA". It matches the Rfam family "Bacterial small subunit ribosomal RNA", at positions 28 to 507 of the family's 1533-position model. The record is from RNAcentral.